ACUAACAUCUUUUUAUUUUAGCUUCCCCUGGUUUUGACUUGAUAUCAAGGUGGACAGCAGAGAGACUUGAUGCUGUUGUUGUAUCACCCAAGGGAGAGGGAAGAAUAAAGAGAAAGGAAAAGAAAAGGAGAAGUGGACUAAAAAGGGGCAAAAAUUGUUUAUGCCAUACUCGUGCACAAAUUGACAAAAUGAAAGCUGUUAAUCUGUGUGACUGCUAUUGAAUAAAAAGAAGGAA
RNAcentral lists this long non-coding RNA (235 nucleotides) under Fukomys damarensis (Damara mole-rat). RNAcentral's name for it is "lncRNA (ENSFDAG00000023304.1)". Lineage: Eukaryota; Metazoa; Chordata; Mammalia; Rodentia; Bathyergidae. The record is from RNAcentral.